RNAcentral lists this ribosomal RNA (924 nucleotides) under uncultured Bacteroidota bacterium. RNAcentral describes it as "bacterial SSU rRNA". It matches the Rfam family "Bacterial small subunit ribosomal RNA", at positions 1 to 916 of the family's 1533-position model. Lineage: Bacteria; Pseudomonadati; Bacteroidota. The record is from RNAcentral.
GGAUCCAGACUUUGAUCAUGGCUCAGGAUGAACGCUAGCUACAGGCUUAACACAUGCAAGUCGAGGGGAAACGACAUUGAAAGCUUGCUUUUGAUGGGCGUCGACCGGCGCACGGGUGAGUAACGCGUAUCCAACCUGCCCACCACUUGGGGAUAACCUUGCGAAAGUAAGACUAAUACCCAAUGACGUCUCUAGAAGACAUCUGAAGGAGAUUAAAGAUUUAUCGGUGAUGGAUGGGGAUGCGUCUGAUUAGCUUGUUGGCGGGGUAACGGCCCACCAAGGCGACGAUCAGUAGGGGUUCUGAGAGGAAGGUCCCCCACAUUGGAACUGAGACACGGUCCAAACUCCUACGGGAGGCAGCAGUGAGGAAUAUUGGUCAAUGGACGAGAGUCUGAACCAGCCAAGUAGCGUGCAGGAUGACGGCCCUAUGGGUUGUAAACUGCUUUUAUAAGGGAAUAAAGUGAGUCUCGUGAGACUUUUUGCAUGUACCUUAUGAAUAAGGACCGGCUAAUUCCGUGCCAGCAGCCGCGGUAAUACGGAAGGUCCGGGCGUUAUCCGGAUUUAUUGGGUUUAAAGGGAGCGUAGGCCGGAGAUUAAGCGUGUUGUGAAAUGUAGACGCUCAACGUCUGCACUGCAGCGCGAACUGGUUUCCUUGAGUACGCACAAAGUGGGCGGAAUUCGUGGUGUAGCGGUGAAAUGCUUAGAUAUCACGAAGAACUCCGAUUGCGAAGGCAGCUCACUGGAGCGCAACUGACGCUGAAGCUCGAAAGUGCGGGUAUCGAACAGGAUUAGAUACCCUGGUAGUCCGCACGGUAAACGAUGGAUGCCCGCUGUUGGUCUGAAUAGGUCAGCGGCCAAGCGAAAGCAUUAAGCAUCCCACCUGGGGAGUACGCCGGCAACGGUGCAACUCAAAGGAAUUGACGG